CUUCAACCCAGAUCCCUGCUUGAAGACAAGAACAGACUUUAUCACAGCCUACAAAAAUGAUUUGCCAUCCAACAGGAGAAAGCAUGUCAAGCUUGUGCACAGAUCUACAUCAGGAGGAGCUCUUUUCCUGGGGGGCCCUCCAGUGAUCGCUGUCGCAGCAGUGAACAUGGACAGCUGUGCGCUGUCUUUGUGUCUGAGGAGGUGGGGGUCAGAGUCUCGUGCAAGAAGCGCCGCUAUCGCUGUCAUCACGCCUGGCUGCUGAUAGGAGACACACUGCACACACGGUGUGAGGGUAAAUUUUUAGUGCUGGGUGAGAGAAAAAGACCGCUAGCUAACCGCUAGCUCAUCAGGACGCCCCAAUGUGAGAUGACCCGGGGCAAGGAGGGGGUGGGGAACCCGUCACUAUGAUAACUUUUUCCUGAACAUGAGCAAAACCAAGGAAUUGGUGGUGGAUUUUGGAAGAAAACAGCAGAGAAACUACACACCUCUGAGAAUCAACACCAGGACACCAGAAGGCGUAGAACCAGAGCUAGUAGGAUUAUGAAGUAUCCUCACUGCCCCAGCAAUGGACUAUUCCAGCUUACACACUUUUUCCAAACGCCUCUGUAACCAAGUCCACAACAAAAAGACUAAGAUAAAGGUUUGUUCCUCAGGCCAUCAGAAUGGUAGACUCUGACCUUUUUAUCUCCUGAACCUUGUCUUACAAAUUUUCUUUGAAUCCUUUGCGCUGACUUGCAUGUGGAAUUUAACUGCUACAGUUGAAGGCAGAAGUGUAUCCAUCACACAUUUGAAAGUUAAACAACUGCCUCUUUGUAUUCAGGAAUCUUUCAUGUAAAUCUUAUAUGGUGUAUAAAAAAAAAUUGCUGCAUAUUUCAUGCAGGAUCUUCAGUCCCUUUGUGA
Micropterus dolomieu (smallmouth bass) is the source of this 900-nucleotide long non-coding RNA. RefSeq lists it as uncharacterized. The record is from RefSeq and is a predicted model, not a curated record. NCBI's taxonomy places the organism in Eukaryota, Metazoa, Chordata, Actinopteri, Centrarchiformes, Centrarchidae. The transcript is spliced from 4 exons.